AGCCUUGCUCUCGGGAACCGUGCCUCCAAAACCUUCCAAAACGUGAAAUAUGUAUCAGCCGCCCCCUUUUGUUACCUAAUGCCUCUUGCCAAGCCGUCAAUAUCUUCUUUGAUGUGUUGUGCGGCUCCUUUAUAAUGUUCCAAACCUAAUCUUUUCUUUCUUUCCAAGUCAACUCACGUGAUUGCUUUUCUCCUUGGCCCAUUUAGCACUUCUUCAAUUUUCAUUGGUCCAUCCAAUUAAUUCAUAAGACCAUGACUUUUGUUUUAUUCUUUUACUAGCCAACUAGCAUGGAAACCCGUGCCAAGCACGGGCUAGAAUUCCGUCAAACUUAAAGGAGAUAAUAUUGUGAUGUAGCAAAAAAUUCAGUUAAAGUCCAACAUCAGAUGAAAGAGUGCAAGUUGAACAUCAAAAGAGUGAAAAAACUCAUACUUAAGCGUUAAAAUUUUGGAUGGAAAUGUAGUCUUGUUUUCACAUGUUGUUGCCCUUUCUUCAAUGCGUCGAUCCACAUUAGUGUUCGCUCCUCCAGAAAGCGCAACGGUGGUAUGAUAUUUUGGUUCAAAGUUCUGUGGGAACGAGAGUGUUUUAGGUGGUGGAUCAUGAACACGGAGAGUCUAACUUUAAUGGAGAGAUGUUAAUGUGUUCAAUGUAAGUUAAAAUUUCACAUUGUAAGCAAGAGCAAGAGUAGCUGUGAGCGACAUAUAAAUUAUCCAUGUCGUAAUGUCUUGAGACUUCGGAUGAAGAUGUGAUAUUAAUCUCACUCGUGUGAUUGUUCUUAGGCUAAUGUGAUCAUACAUCUCAAUUUAGAAUCUCACAAAAGUCCCAACAUUAUGAUAAUUUGAUUUCUAUAUUUUUUAAUGUCGUUUUGUUUAAUUUUUUUAUCUUA
RNAcentral lists this long non-coding RNA (883 nucleotides) under Medicago truncatula (barrel medic). RNAcentral describes it as "lncRNA gene13841". The record is from RNAcentral. Lineage: Eukaryota; Viridiplantae; Streptophyta; Magnoliopsida; Fabales; Fabaceae.